Long non-coding RNA from Aplysia californica (California sea hare), 1012 nucleotides. RefSeq lists it as uncharacterized. The record is from RefSeq and is a predicted model, not a curated record. The transcript is spliced from 2 exons. NCBI's taxonomy places the organism in Eukaryota, Metazoa, Mollusca, Gastropoda, Aplysiida, Aplysiidae.
CUGUCUUUCUCUCUCUUGUGCUGGUCAAUUUUUUUCAUGAGACAGUUUUUGUAAUUUUGUUUUUUGUAAUUUUGUAUGUUUUUUAAAAAAUACGCCUUAAUAAAGACUUUGUGUUUUGUCUUACUGUGCUGUACAAAUUGAAACCUCAAUGUGUUUGUGUUUUCAAACUGUUGAGCUGGGCCUGUUGGCCGGCUGGGCUGUACAUAGUCGUUACAUGGAAGCAUCAUGUACUUACGAGUAAAUAUUUCUAACAGAACUAUAGUGCAAUUUUUUUUGAAAGUACAUAAUUAAUUGUUCCUGUGUCCUUUAAUCCCCCUCCUCCCCCCCUCCCCCCAAACAACACAUCUGUGAAACGCAAUCAAAAUGAUCAUUGAUUUUGGUCAAGUCUUUUUGUUGUAAAAAAAAAACCAACCCUAAAAAGUGUAUGGAUUUAUUAUUAUAGUCUGCAAGCCAUAGAGACUGUUUGACAAAUCAUUUUUAAGUUAUAUUGAUGUGUAUAAGUGGUAUAGUGUGUACAUACAAACCUUUUUUUUGUUCUUUUUUGUUUUGACAUGACACAAAGGGUUGACUCUAUGUCCUGUGGGGACAGAGGUACGCAGUGAUAGACUUUCUGCGACAGAGGUACGCAGUGAUAGACUUUCUCCGACAGAGGUACGCAGUGAUAGACUUUCUCCGACAGAGGUACGCAGUGAUAGACUUUCUCCGACACAAAUUCGAGGGGAAAAUAAUAUAAAAAAAAUUUUUGAACGAAAAUUUAUUAUUGCGCAAAUUUGGAAAACUGCUCUUCAUUAAAUGUUUUGUGUCGGAUUUUAUUUUAUUUUGUGGCCUUUUUUUGGUUUUUUUGCAGACGACAAACAAAAAAUCUAUACUUCUGCUUCUUUUUUGUUGUUUGGAUGUUUUCUCUCAAAACAUUUUGGUAUUUUUAGUAUUCAUUUUAUAUUGUACCUUAAGCCCACAGCACUGUGUUUAUGAAGGAAAAAAUCUUUUAAAAAAUAAAUUUGCUGACACACUU